Molecule: long non-coding RNA, 275 nt
Filed under: Zostera marina
Lineage: Eukaryota; Viridiplantae; Streptophyta; Magnoliopsida; Alismatales; Zosteraceae
Description: long non-coding RNA (ZMAR_LNC005064)
Source: RNAcentral
AAGGUCCUUCUCUGAAGAGAAAGAGAAGGCGCACCACUGGGAAGGGCAAAGUACGCGUGCCCGAAGAGAAUGAAGGGGUCCCUCCUCCCUUGGAUAUUAACUUCGAGGAGACCUUGACUGUGGACCGUGGUGCUCAAAAUCCACGACGUAGGACGGGCCGGCGCUCUGAAAGAACUCCGCCACCUCCCGUGGAUCUGAAUGCUAGUCGAGACCCGGACCUCGACUUAAAUACAUAUGUCGGAGCUUUGAACCCCUCUGGGUUCGCUCAUUGUGAA